Molecule: ribosomal RNA, 499 nt
Filed under: uncultured bacterium
Lineage: Bacteria
Description: bacterial SSU rRNA
Rfam family: Bacterial small subunit ribosomal RNA
Source: RNAcentral
GGCUAACGCUGGGCGGCGUGUCUUAGCCAUGCAAGUCGAGCGGACUUAUGGGGUAACUUAUAAGUCAGCGGCGGACGGCGGAGUAACACGUAGCUAACCUACCCUCUGGACGGGGAUAACCUACCGAAAGGUGGGCUAAUACCCGAUGUAGUCAUCCUGUAUAGGGGUGAUGAAAGGUGGGCUUCUGUUUACAAGCUCAUGCUGGAGGAGGGGGCUGCGGCCUAUCAGGUAGUUGGUAGGGUAAUAGCCUACCAAGCCGAUGACGGGUAGCCGGCCUGAGAGGGUGACCGGCCCGAGGGGCACUGAGAUACGGGUCCCACUCCUACGGGAGGCAGCAGGCUAGAAAUUUGGGCAAUGGGGGAAACCCUGACCCAGUGACGCCGCGUGCAGGAAGGAGCCCUUCGGGGUGUAAACUGCUGUCGUGUAGGGAGAAGGGUACUAAGGUGAACAAUCUUAGUACUUGACGGUACUACAGGAGGAAGCCCAGGCUAACCUCGUG